AUGGCAACGUCCUCCAGGUGGACGCUGAUCCAAGAGACUGAGGAGUCGCCAUCCAGGCGGCAGGAGGCGUCGAGGGCGAGGCCACCAGUCCGGCAGCAGAGACAGAGACGAGGCAGGGACCAGAGACGAAGACAGACGUGGGGACGAGGCAGGAACCAGAGGCGAAGACAGACGUGGGGACGAGGCAGGAACCAGAGGCGAAGACAGACGUGGGGACGAGGCAGGAACCAGAGGCGAAGACAGACGUGGAGACGUCCUCCUUGGACCUCCGCGACGAGAAACAGGGGCCAGCGGCGUCCUCCUUGGACCACCGCGACGAGACACAGGUACAGAUGCGGCCGGAGCCGGACCGCCAGGAACCGAUGCAGGUACGGCCGAACCGCCAGGAACCGAUGCAGGUACGGCCAGGACUGCGACGGGCGCGACCCCCUCCUGGAGGUCCGCCGGGACUGCGACGGGCGCGACCCCCUCCUGGAGGUCCGCCGGGACUGCGACGGGCGCGACCCCCUCCUGGAGGUCCGCCGGGACGGCGACGGGCGCGACCCCCUCCCGGAGGUCCGCCGGGACUGCGACGGGCGCGACCCCCUCCCGGAGGUCCGCCGGGACGGCGACGGGCGCGACCCCCUCCCGGAGGUCCGCCGGGACUGCGACGGGCGCGACCCCCUCCCGGAGGUCCGCCGGGACUGCGACGGGCGCGACCCCCUCCCGGAGGUCCGCCGGGACUGCGACGGGCGCGACCCCCUCCGGAGGUACCGCCGGGACGGCGACGGGCGCGACCCCCUCCCGGAGGUCCGCCGGGACUGCGACGGGCGCGACCCCCUCCCGGAGGUCCGCCGGGACUGCGACGGGCGCGACCCCCUCCCGGAGGUCCGCCGGGUCUGCGACGGGCGCGACCCCCUCCCGGAGGUCCGCCGGGACUGCGGCUGGCGCGACCCCCUCCUGGAGGUCCGCCGGAACUGCGGCUGGCGCGACCCCCUCCUGGAGGUCCGCCGGGACUGCGGCUGGCGCGACCUCCUCCUGGAGUCCCAUACAUCCACCCACCCCAGCCGGGGCCCUCUCCGAGCCCUCUCCCCGCCCUCACGCCAUGCUUUCCGUCCGGGGUAA
Molecule: long non-coding RNA, 1104 nt
Filed under: Betta splendens (Siamese fighting fish)
Lineage: Eukaryota; Metazoa; Chordata; Actinopteri; Anabantiformes; Osphronemidae
Description: lncRNA (ENSBSLG00000005667.1)
Source: RNAcentral